This 310-nucleotide unclassified non-coding RNA is filed under the name plant metagenome. RNAcentral's name for it is "partial contains 5.8S ribosomal RNA, internal transcribed spacer 2, and large subunit ribosomal RNA". The stretch from base 1 to 105 matches the Rfam family "5.8S ribosomal RNA", at positions 50 to 154 of the family's 154-position model. The record is from RNAcentral.
GAAAUGCGAUAAGUAGUGUGAAUUGCAGAAUUCAGUGAAUCAUCGAAUCUUUGAAGGCACAUUGCGCCCCUCGGUAUUCCGUGGGGCAUGCCUGUUCGAGCGUCAUCUACACCCUCAAGCUCUGCUUGGUGUUGGGCGUCUGUCCCGCCUCCUUCGCGCGCGGACUCGCCCCAAAUCCACUGGCGGCGGCCCUUGCCUCCCUCUCGCGCAGCACAUUGCGCUUCUCGAGGCGCGGCGGACCGCGUCCAGCAAGCAACCGUCACACCGUCUUUGACCUCGGAUCAGGUAGGGAUACCCGCUGAACUUAAGC